UUACAGUGUUGCAUUAGCUGAAAACUCACCCCUUAGGUCUGAGCUUGUAUUUAAACAGAAAGAGGACACAAGGACAAAGAAACAAAAAGGUUAUCUAACUCCAAACAAGAAACCUGGACAACGUAUUGAAGAUCAGCCACUGACAUUUAAAACCAACGUCAAGUCCUCGGGAUACACUGCCUCUCCAAGGAACACUAUGUUUAAACCAAGGACAGACUUCUCCAGUAGUGCUUCAGCAGCCAGCAGAGGACUACCCAAAUCAGCCUCAUCUGGAUCGGUUGUUGGGAAGAUGAACCAGAAACAGUACCCAACUGACUGUUCCGCACCAUCAGUGUUACAGACCAAGAUAAAUGUUGCUGAACGUCCAACACCAAUCCACUGUGUCCGAU
Long non-coding RNA from Mizuhopecten yessoensis (Yesso scallop), 389 nucleotides. RefSeq lists it as uncharacterized. The transcript is spliced from 4 exons. The record is from RefSeq and is a predicted model, not a curated record. Lineage: Eukaryota; Metazoa; Mollusca; Bivalvia; Pectinida; Pectinidae.